UACGAAGGGGGCUAGCGUUGCUCGGAAUCACUGGGCGUAAAGCGCACGUAGGCGGCUUUCUAAGUCAGGGGUGAAAUCCUGGAGCUCAACUCCAGAACUGCCUUUGAUACUGGGAAGCUCGAGUCCGGAAGAGGAGAGUGGAAUUCCUGGUGUAGCGGUGAAAUGCGCAGAUAUCAGGAAGAACACCCGUGGCUAAGGCGGCUCUCUAGUACGGUACUGACGCUGAGACGCGAAAGCGUGGGGAGCGAACAGG
RNAcentral lists this ribosomal RNA (253 nucleotides) under uncultured bacterium. RNAcentral's name for it is "partial 16S ribosomal RNA". It matches the Rfam family "Bacterial small subunit ribosomal RNA", at positions 524 to 776 of the family's 1533-position model. The record is from RNAcentral.